Molecule: long non-coding RNA, 740 nt
Organism: Anolis carolinensis (green anole)
Lineage: Eukaryota; Metazoa; Chordata; Lepidosauria; Squamata; Anolidae
Source: Ensembl
ACCAAGACACACAACAGACCUAACAAAACAGGAGGAUGAUCCUCCCUACAUGUUUUGCAUUGGUGUUGAAGUGAGUGAGACCACAAAUGUGAAUCAAAUAAGUCUUUGAUUGUAGUACACAUAAAAGCGAAUGGUGCCAGGUUUUCCAAGUUAGUAGGACUGGACUUUACAAACUCAGGCUGCCUCCCGCCGCUGCAGCUGGCAAACACGAGUGCCGCCAGUUCCGGCAAGGUCUCUUGGAAACUAGGCAGCCUUGACAGUUCUCUAAUGAUCGGCAACAUUUCCAUCACCCCCAGAAGAUAUGAUUGGCUGAACAUGACAUUGACAGACUUGGGGACUGAAGCCACAAGGAGGAAACUGCAUAAUGACUGAACUCAGAACAUUUAAGAACAAGAGGCUGAACACCCUAUCCUGUAUCACUGAGGACCAAGCUGUUUGAAAGGCCAUUGUCUCUCCAGUAAGCCUGUCUGGGCUUUAAGAUCUUUGAGUGAAAUAAACAAACCAAUAAAUAAAUAAUACUUUAUUUGUAUUCUGCUUUAUCUUCCCGAGGGCACUCAGGGUGGAUUCCAGCAAACACAGACACAAGGCAAACAUUCAAUGCCUAGAAACAACAAACACAGAUAAAAGGCAAAAGUUUCAUUUCCCCUUCCAGCUCUGGGGAGUGGUGCUCAUCUUCGGCUCUGGGGGGUGGUGUUCAUCUCAAUUUCUAAGCUGAAGAGCCUGCAUUGUCCAUAGACACC